Long non-coding RNA from Eurytemora carolleeae, 341 nucleotides. RefSeq lists it as uncharacterized. The transcript has 2 exons. Lineage: Eukaryota; Metazoa; Arthropoda; Copepoda; Calanoida; Temoridae. The record is from RefSeq and is a predicted model, not a curated record.
GUUCAAACAACUUUUCGCCGUGCCACAGUUUUCUAGAUUGAAACCUCGUUACUGAAAUAUAUACAUUUUCAAGAAGUUGUUCUCAUCUGUGUAAGGCCGGUAGAAAAGAGUGUUUCCCUAGCCAAUUCACCUUAUUUCCCUCUUUCGAGUAUUAUUCCUUCUGUUCGGCUCACAAUCAUUUAGGAAUUGGUGAUGACCAGCUUGCUAGUUCGGGGAGAAGAUUUUGAAUGCACGGUAUCCCACAGUAGAUAAGACUUCAAAGACUUAUUUCUUAACAAUUGUCAAAUCAUUAAAUAUCAUUUAAAACUAUUAAUAAUGCUAAAAAUAAAUUUUGUCUUCAG